GAGAAUGGGUGAUAUCCAUGGGUCCUCAUAAACUUUAAUGGCAGUACCAGUAGCACCAUCCAUGAAAACUGAAAUUUCAAAUAGGACCCAGCCUUAGCAAUCUUCUUCCAAAUGAUAGAAGCUUUCCUUAGACAGUUAUAAUUAAUCCAUGAUCUAGUAAAUUUGUAUUUUACUUUAACUACUUGAGCCCAUAAUGAAUGCGGAUUCAAAAUCAUUUGAGCAGCUAAUUUACACAAAUAGUGAAAACAAAGCUAAUUUGACAAUUGAAACCCUAAACUACCAC
RNAcentral lists this long non-coding RNA (283 nucleotides) under Elaeis guineensis (African oil palm). RNAcentral's name for it is "long non-coding RNA (EGUI_LNC078538)". Lineage: Eukaryota; Viridiplantae; Streptophyta; Magnoliopsida; Arecales; Arecaceae. The record is from RNAcentral.